Molecule: unclassified non-coding RNA, 190 nt
Filed under: Enterococcus cecorum
Lineage: Bacteria; Bacillati; Bacillota; Bacilli; Lactobacillales; Enterococcaceae
Also listed under: 1 other name
Description: partial 16S-23S ribosomal RNA intergenic spacer
Source: RNAcentral
CUAAGGAAUAGAACGGAAACUACACAAGUUUGCAUUUGUUCAGUUUUGAGAGGUUUACUCUCAAAAAGAUUUGUUCAUUGAAAACUGGAUAUUGAAAAGUAAUACAAAAAAACCGAGAAAACACCGCGUUGAAUGAGUUUAAGAAGUUCAAUUGCUUUAUUAUUUAAAAGAUCUGAUCGCACAGAUCGAA